RNAcentral lists this ribosomal RNA (497 nucleotides) under uncultured bacterium. RNAcentral's name for it is "partial 16S ribosomal RNA". It matches the Rfam family "Bacterial small subunit ribosomal RNA", at positions 28 to 507 of the family's 1533-position model. The record is from RNAcentral.
GAUGAACGCUGGCGGCGUGCCUAAUACAUGCAAGUAGAACGCUGAAGGAAGGAGCUUGCUCUUUCCGGAUGAGUUGCGAACGGGUGAGUAACGCGUAGGUAACCUGCCUGGUAGCGGGGGAUAACUAUUGGAAACGAUAGCUAAUACCGCAUAACAGUAGAUGUUGCAUGAUAUCUACUUAAAAGGUGCAAUUGCACCACUACCAGAUGGACCUGCGUUUUAUUAGCUAGUUGGUGAGGUAACGGCUCACCAAGGCGACGAUACAUAGCCGACCUGAGAGGGUGAUCGGCCACACUGGGACUGAGACACGGCCCAGACUCCUACGGGAGGCAGCAGUAGGGAAUCUUCGGCAAUGGACGGAAGUCUGACCGAGCAACGCCGCGUGAGUGAAGAAGGUUUUCGGAUCGUAAAGCUCUGUUGUAAGAGAAGAACGAGUGUGAGAGUGGAAAGUUCACACUGUGACGGUAUCUUACCAGAAAGGGACGGCUAACUACGUG